This 1381-nucleotide ribosomal RNA is filed under the name Hoplobatrachus cf. tigerinus MS-2009. Its description in RNAcentral is "partial 16S rRNA". It matches the Rfam family "Bacterial large subunit ribosomal RNA", at positions 410 to 2563 of the family's 2925-position model. The record is from RNAcentral. Lineage: Eukaryota; Metazoa; Chordata; Amphibia; Anura; Dicroglossidae.
GCCCUAAAUCAAGCCUAAUAUUUACUGCACAAAACCAACCUCGUAUCUACGACCCAAUAAAACAUUUUUUUACUUUAGUAGAGGUGAUCAAAAAAUUUCUAAGCGCUUUAUAUUUAGUACCGCAAGGGAAUGAUGAAAUAGCUAUGAAAUAGCCCAAAAGCACCAAAUAGCAGAGAUUCCACUCGUACCUUUUGCAUCAUGGUUUAGCCAGCCCUAAUCAAGCAAAGCGAAACAUUAGUUUGAUUCCCCGAAACUAGGCGAGCUACUUCGAAACAGCUUAAUAGAGCCAACCCGUCUCUGUCGCAAAAGAGUGGGAUGAUUUCCAAGUAGAAGUGAAAAGCCUACCGAGCCUAGAGAUAGCUGGUUAUUCAGGAAAAGAAUUUUAGUUCACCCUUAAGCUUUUGUAUGAAAUUAAACAACCCGCUAAGCUUAAGAGCUAUUCAAUUAAGGCACAGCUUAUUUGAAAAAGAACACAGUCUUUAACCAAGGGUAAGUAAUAAAAUUCAUGUUAAGUGGGCCUGAAAGCAGCCACCUUUUAAAAAGCGUUAAAGCUUUCCAUAAACCUAUAGUAUUUAAUACCACUAGUUUCAUCGAACCCUUCAUUAGUACUGAAUGACCCUAUAAAUUAUAGGAGACACAAUGCUAAAACUAGUAACAAGAAAUAGACUUUCUCCAAAAUGCAAGUGUACGCCAAAACGGACCUACCAUUGGCCUUUACCGUAUUUGAUCCUAGAAUAGUAACACCCCCUAGAAAAACCUAUUCUGCUUUACGUUAACCUAACACAAGAACAUUACCGGAAAGAUUAAAAGAGAAAGAAGGAACUCGGCAAAUUUAAGCCCCGCCUGUUUACCAAAAACAUCGCCUCUUGAUAAAAUAUAAGAGGUCCAGCCUGCCCAGUGACACAGUUAAACGGCCGCGGUACCCUGACCGUGCGAAGGUAGCAUAAUCACUUGUUCCCUAAAUAGGGACUUGUAUGAACGGCAUCACGAGGGCUUUACUGUCUCCUUUCUCCAAUCAGUGAAACUGAUCUCCCCGUGAAGAAGCGGGGAUUUUACCAUAAGACGAGAAGACCCCAUGGAGCUUUAAACCCAACGACACCCCUCAACCCCUAACCCUUUAUAGUUGCUACAGCCCUGUUCGUUGGUUUUAGGUUGGGGUGACCGCGGAGCAUAAAUAAACCUCCACGACGAAUGGGACUACCCCCCUUACCCAAGAGCUACUCCUCUAAGGAUCAAUAAAUUGACGUAUAAUGAUCCAAGUAUUUGAUCAACGGACCAAGUUACCCUGGGGAUAACAGCGCAAUCCAUUUCAAGAGCCCCUAUCGACAAAUGGGUUUACGACCUCGAUGUUGGAUCAGGGUAUCCAAGUGGUGCAGCCGCU